Long non-coding RNA from Cucumis melo (muskmelon), 444 nucleotides. RefSeq lists it as uncharacterized. The transcript is spliced from 3 exons. Lineage: Eukaryota; Viridiplantae; Streptophyta; Magnoliopsida; Cucurbitales; Cucurbitaceae. The record is from RefSeq and is a predicted model, not a curated record.
UCGAGCUGGGACAUUCGUGUCGCAGGCCGCCGAGGAUGCGCAUAAUCAAAUGCUGGAACUCCAAUCCCAGCCUACCCCAUAGGGUAGUCAGCCACUCUCUGAGGAUGAGAUAUGCGAUCAGGUGUUGGGUAGACGACCAGGCUACUUAAAAGGCGUUGGUUGGGGACCCAAGCCGAAGGCCCGCAGAACGGCAAGUGCAAGCAGUUCGUCGACAUCUUCUUCGCAGUCCACCCAAAAAGAAAUUGAAUUACAAGCUAAACUUCAUGAAGCUUUGGAACGGAUUGAAGUACAAGAUAGAAAUCACCAAGCAUUAGCUUCACAAGUGGAAGCUAUGAAAAAGAUGAUUGAAGACCUAACUCGUGCACAACAGGGGCCACCACAUGAUCCCUAGCUCUGCGGACCGAAGGUGUAGAAUGACGCGCAUACGGACCUCGUUGGGAGAUU